RNAcentral lists this non-coding RNA (24 nucleotides) under Cricetulus griseus (Chinese hamster). Lineage: Eukaryota; Metazoa; Chordata; Mammalia; Rodentia; Cricetidae. The record is from RNAcentral.
CCAGAACAGAGAACAGAACAGGAU